UACGGAAGGCAGCAGUGGGGAAUAUUGCACAAUGGGCGCAAGCCUGAUGCAGCCAUGCCGCGUGUAUGAAGAAGGCCUUCGGGUUGUAAAGUACUUUCAGUCGUGAGGAAGGUGUUAAGGUUAAUAAUCUUAGCAAUUGACGUUAGCGACAGAAGAAGCACCGGCUAACUCCGUGCCAGCAGCCGCGGUAAUACGGAGGGUGCGAGCGUUAAUCGGAAUUACUGGGCGUAAAGGGCACGCAGGCGGUUAAUUAAGUUGGAUGUGAAAUCCCCGGGCUUAACCUGGGAAUGGCAUUCAAGACUGGUUAGCUAGAGUCUUGUAGAGGGGGUAGAAUUCCAUGUGUAGCGGUGAAAUGCGUAGAGAUGUGGAGGAAUACCGGUGGCGAAGGCGGCCCCUGGACAAAGACUGACGCUCAUGUGCGAAAGCGUGGGGAGCAAACAGGGAUUAGAUACC
RNAcentral lists this ribosomal RNA (453 nucleotides) under uncultured bacterium. RNAcentral's name for it is "bacterial SSU rRNA". It matches the Rfam family "Bacterial small subunit ribosomal RNA", at positions 340 to 786 of the family's 1533-position model. The record is from RNAcentral.